CCGGGGAAGUGUUCGGAUUGCGGCGACGUGGGCGGUCCGCUGCCCGCGACGUUGUGAGAAGUCCACUGAACCUUAUCAUUUAGAGGAAGGAGAAGUCGUAACAAGGUUUCCGUAGGUGAACCUGCGGAAGGAUCAUUGUC
This 140-nucleotide ribosomal RNA is filed under the name Astragalus eremophilus subsp. eremophilus. Its description in RNAcentral is "partial 18S ribosomal RNA". It matches the Rfam family "Eukaryotic small subunit ribosomal RNA", at positions 1698 to 1831 of the family's 1831-position model. Lineage: Eukaryota; Viridiplantae; Streptophyta; Magnoliopsida; Fabales; Fabaceae. The record is from RNAcentral.